This 407-nucleotide ribosomal RNA is filed under the name uncultured bacterium. RNAcentral's name for it is "partial 16S ribosomal RNA". It matches the Rfam family "Bacterial small subunit ribosomal RNA", at positions 30 to 526 of the family's 1533-position model. The record is from RNAcentral.
AUUGAACGCUGGCGGCAGGCCUAACACAUGCAAGUCGAGCGGAGCGGCGGACGGGUGAGUAAUGCCUAGGAAUCUGCCUGGUAGUGGGGGAUAACGUCCGGAAACGGGCGCUAAUACAGCAUACUAUCAGAUAAGCCGAGGUCGGAUUAGCUAGUUGGUGGGGUAAAGGCCUACAAAGGCGACGAACCGUAACUGGGGUGAGAGGAUGAUCAGUCACACUGGAACUGAGACACGGUCCAGACGCCUACGGGAGGCAGCAGUGGGGAAUAUUGGACAAUGGGCGAAAGCCUGAUCCAGCCAUGCCGCGUGUGUGAAGAAGGUCUUCGGAUUGUAAAGCACUUGAAGUUGGGAGGCGUUACCAACAGAAUAAGCACCGGCUAACUUCGUGCCAGCAGCCGCGGUAAUAC